This 519-nucleotide ribosomal RNA is filed under the name Bifidobacterium longum subsp. infantis. RNAcentral's name for it is "bacterial SSU rRNA". It matches the Rfam family "Bacterial small subunit ribosomal RNA", at positions 162 to 696 of the family's 1533-position model. Lineage: Bacteria; Bacillati; Actinomycetota; Actinomycetes; Bifidobacteriales; Bifidobacteriaceae. RNAcentral also lists the same sequence under 2 other names. The record is from RNAcentral.
GGUAAUGCCGGAUGUUCCAGUUGAUCGCAUGGUCUUCUGGGAAAGCUUUCGCGGUAUGGGAUGGGGUCGCGUCCUAUCAGCUUGACGGCGGGGUAACGGCCCACCGUGGCUUCGACGGGUAGCCGGCCUGAGAGGGCGACCGGCCACAUUGGGACUGAGAUACGGCCCAGACUCCUACGGGAGGCAGCAGUGGGGAAUAUUGCACAAUGGGCGCAAGCCUGAUGCAGCGACGCCGCGUGAGGGAUGGAGGCCUUCGGGUUGUAAACCUCUUUUAUCGGGGAGCAAGCGAGAGUGAGUUUACCCGUUGAAUAAGCACCGGCUAACUACGUGCCAGCAGCCGCGGUAAUACGUAGGGUGCAAGCGUUAUCCGGAAUUAUUGGGCGUAAAGGGCUCGUAGGCGGUUCGUCGCGUCCGGUGUGAAAGUCCAUCGCUUAACGGUGGAUCCGCGCCGGGUACGGGCGGGCUUGAGUGCGGUAGGGGAGACUGGAAUUCCCGGUGUAACGGUGGAAUGUGUAGAUA